This 95-nucleotide non-coding RNA is filed under the name uncultured Ruminococcus sp. RNAcentral describes it as "THF riboswitch". It matches the Rfam family "THF (Tetrahydrofolate) riboswitch aptamer". Rfam says of the family: THF riboswitch presents a pseudoknot that joins P1-P2 and the loop of P3 and two THF binding. The record is from RNAcentral. Lineage: Bacteria; Bacillati; Bacillota; Clostridia; Eubacteriales; Oscillospiraceae.
CAGAGUAGAAGCUGUGCGUAAAGUGUUUCACGGACGGGGAGUUGCCGCGAAAACGAAAGAGAUUUCUCUGCGAUACAGCGUUCGCAUCCCGCUGU